This 478-nucleotide ribosomal RNA is filed under the name uncultured bacterium. RNAcentral describes it as "partial 16S ribosomal RNA". It matches the Rfam family "Bacterial small subunit ribosomal RNA", at positions 28 to 523 of the family's 1533-position model. The record is from RNAcentral.
GACGAACGCUGGCGGCGUGCUUAACACAUGCAAGUCGAACGGUAAGGCCCUUCGGGGUACACGAGUGGCGAACGGGUGAGUAACACGUGGGUGAUCUGCCCUGCACUUCGGGAUAAGCCUGGGAAACUGGGUCUAAUACCGGAUAGGACUCCGGACUGCAUGGUCGGGGGUGGAAAGCUUUUGCGGUGUGGGAUGGGCCCGCGGCCUAUCAGCUUGCUGGUGGGGUGAUGGCCUACCAAGGCGACGACGGGUAGCCGGCCUGAGAGGGUGACCGGCCCCACGGGCACUGGGAGCCGGCCCAGAUUACAACGGGAGGCAGCAGUGGGGAAAAUGGAACAAUGGGCGCAAGCCUGAUGGAGCGACGCCGCGUGAGGGAUGGGGGCCUUCGGGUUGUAAACCGCUUUCAGCACCGACGAAGCGCAAGUGACGGUAGGUGCAGAAGAAGGACCGGCCAACUACGUGCCAGCCGCCGCAGUAA